Molecule: ribosomal RNA, 414 nt
Filed under: Chaetoceros sp.
Lineage: Eukaryota; Bacillariophyta; Thalassiosirophyceae; Chaetocerotales; Chaetocerotaceae
Description: SSU rRNA
Rfam family: Eukaryotic small subunit ribosomal RNA
Source: RNAcentral
AUAGCGUAUAUUAAAGUUGUUGCAGUUAAAAAGCUCGUAGUUGGAUUUCCGGCGUGAGGGAUCGGUCUGACUUUUAGUCAGUACUUGAUCCUCUCAUGCCGUCCUUGAAUGGUGCACCCUGGCAUUAAGUUGUCGGGGUGAGAGCCGUUCAUCGUUUACUGUGAGAAAAUUAGAGUGUUCAAAGCAGGCUUAUGCCGUUGAAUAUAUUAGCAUGGAAUAAUAAGAUAGGACCUAGGUACUAUUUUGUUGGUUUGAGAACCAAGGUAAUGAUCAAUAGGGACAGUUGGGGGUAUUCGUAUUCAGUUGUCAGAGGUGAAAUUCUUAGAUUUCCGGAAGACGAACUACUGCGAAAGCAUUUACCAAGGAUGUUUUCAUUAAUCAAGAACGAAAGUAUGGGGAUCGAAGAUGAUUAGA